GCCACGGUGGUCUAGCUGUCAGAACACUAGCCUUGUAAGCCUGGGGUCCCGGGUUCAAUUCCCGGUGGUGCUC
Molecule: transfer RNA, 73 nt
Filed under: Zootermopsis nevadensis
Lineage: Eukaryota; Metazoa; Arthropoda; Insecta; Blattodea; Termopsidae
Rfam family: tRNA
About the family: Transfer RNA (tRNA) molecules are approximately 80 nucleotides in length. Their secondary structure includes four short double-helical elements and three loops (D, anti-codon, and T loops).
Source: Rfam by way of RNAcentral